Molecule: ribosomal RNA, 429 nt
Filed under: uncultured bacterium
Lineage: Bacteria
Description: bacterial SSU rRNA
Rfam family: Bacterial small subunit ribosomal RNA
Source: RNAcentral
GAACGGCAGCGCGGGAGCAAUCCUGGCGGCGAGUGGCGAACGGGUGAGUAAUACAUCGGAAUGUGCCCAUUCGUGGGGGAUAACGCAGCGAAAGCUGUGCUAAUACCGCAUACGAUCUACGGAUGAAAGCAGGGGAUCGCAAGACCUUGCGCGAAUGGAUCGGCCGAUGUCAGAUUAGGUAGUUGGUGAGGUAAAGGCUCACCAAGCCUACGAUCCGUAGCUGGUCUGAGAGGACGACCAGCCACACUGGGACUGAGACACGGCCCAGACUCCUACGGGAGGCAGCAGUGGGGAAUUUUGGACAAUGGGCGCAAGCCUGAUCCAGCCAUGCCGCGUGCAGGAUGAAGGCCUUCGGGUUGUAAAGUGCUUUUGUACGGAACGAAACGGCUCUUUUUAAUAAAGAGGGGUAAUGACGGUACCGUAAGAAUA